GCUUCACGUAAGAUUUCUGCGGCGUUGUAAGUUCGUUGGGAUAAAGAAACGCAAGAUAAACGUAGCCGGAAGGAUUCUAUUGUGAAAACCUCUUGUUUGAUGUCCAAGGAUCAAUCUAGCUGUAAGAUAAAAUAGACACAAACUGAUGAGCAGCUCACACCACCUUCAAACUUAUUGAGCUUUCCUGAGCUCCAUAUCUGAUAGUUCGAGAGGCAUUCGCAUCAUGGGAUCGCCUCCCCACGAUUUGCAAGACGUGAUGGACCGACUGUCUUGGUGCCCCCUGGACCCUUUCCUUACAUCGGUGUUUCUUUCUCUUGUGCAAUGCGGCAGCUCAUACCUAACAUUAGAGACUAUAUCAAUGCAUCCUUUGAUGUAGGGAACAUCAGGAAACUACACUAAAGCAAGACUUGUACGACAUGCUCCGUCUGGGUGAGGCUUUGCUUCGUCAGUGCUCAAGAAGAAUCUCUACCUGUCCAAGUAUACGAAUAAAUCAAUUUCAUGCCAACAAUCCAUUGCUGCCUGCAGCUGAGACCGGUGCCUUUUCCUUUCUGAGGACAGAGAGUCUGCAGCAGUGUGCGCAGAGCAUAUUGAGAGCUUUGUUGCAGCCACAAUCAGUUUCACUGAUGCUCAUGACCCUUGAGCAGCUGUCCAAAGAAGGUGUGCACAUGCACAUGCCAUUAUAUGCAGUUUUCGCUGUCUCAACAUGUACCAAGCUUUGUGAACGCUGUGGGCACUCGGUGUUGCGCAGCCUUGCAGAUCCUGCAGAACAUUCUCCAGCAGACGGCAGUGCAGCGGGAAGCAACAAUCAGCUGCGAGGGCGAUGGUCGGGGCGUCACUGAGGACGAGCAGUGUGCCGCACUGAAAA
RNAcentral lists this long non-coding RNA (865 nucleotides) under Coccomyxa subellipsoidea. RNAcentral's name for it is "long non-coding RNA (CSUB_LNC000103)". The record is from RNAcentral. Lineage: Eukaryota; Viridiplantae; Chlorophyta; Trebouxiophyceae; Coccomyxaceae.